Molecule: non-coding RNA, 28 nt
Filed under: Drosophila melanogaster (fruit fly)
Lineage: Eukaryota; Metazoa; Arthropoda; Insecta; Diptera; Drosophilidae
Also listed under: 8 other names
Source: RNAcentral
CUAGCUCAGUCGGUAGAGCAUGAGACUC